This 220-nucleotide unclassified non-coding RNA is filed under the name Stachybotryaceae sp. Its description in RNAcentral is "partial contains small subunit ribosomal RNA, internal transcribed spacer 1, and 5.8S ribosomal RNA". RNAcentral also lists the same sequence under 1 other name. The record is from RNAcentral. Lineage: Eukaryota; Fungi; Ascomycota; Sordariomycetes; Hypocreales; Stachybotryaceae.
UCUCCGUUGGUGAACCAGCGGAGGGAUCAUUACCGAGUUUACAACUCCCAAACCCUUAUGUGAACCAUACCUAUCGUUGCUUCGGCGGGAGAGCCCCGGCCCCCUCGGGCCCGGAGUCAGGCGCCCGCCGGAGACCCCAAACUCUUUGUUUUACUUGAGUAUCGUCUGAGUGGUAUAAACAAAUACAUCAAAACUUUUAACAACGGAUCUCUUGGCUCUG